RNAcentral lists this ribosomal RNA (273 nucleotides) under uncultured soil bacterium. RNAcentral describes it as "partial 16S ribosomal RNA". It matches the Rfam family "Bacterial small subunit ribosomal RNA", at positions 26 to 282 of the family's 1533-position model. The record is from RNAcentral.
AGAAUCAACGCUGGCGGCGUGCCUCAGACAUGCAAGUCGAACGCGAAAGUCCCCUUCGGGGGCGAGUAGAGUGGCGCACGGGUGAGUAACACGUAGGUAAUCUACCUUUGGAUGGGGAAUAACAACCGGAAACGGUUGCUAAUACCGCAUAAUGCAGCGGCACCUAAUGGUGACAGUUGUUAAAGCGGGGGAUCGAAAGACCUCGCGUCUGAAGAGGAGCCUGCGGCGGAUUAGGCUAGUUGGUAAGGUAAUGGCUUACCAAGGCUACGAUCC